RNAcentral lists this ribosomal RNA (253 nucleotides) under uncultured bacterium. Its description in RNAcentral is "partial 16S ribosomal RNA". It matches the Rfam family "Bacterial small subunit ribosomal RNA", at positions 524 to 776 of the family's 1533-position model. The record is from RNAcentral.
UACGAAGGGUGCAAGCGUUACUCGGAAUUACUGGGCGUAAAGCGUGCGUAGGUGGUGAGUUAAGUCUGUCGUGAAAGCCCCGGGCUCAACCUGGGAAUGGCGAUGGAUACUGGCUCGCUAGAGUGCGGUAGAGGAGAGUGGAAUUCCCAGUGUAGCAGUGAAAUGCGUAGAUAUCUGGAGGAACACCGGUGGCGAGGGCGGCAUCCUGGACCAACACUGACGCUGAGGAGCGAAAGCCAGGGGAGCAAACGGG